CCUACGGGAGGCAGCAGUGCGGAAUAUUGGUCAAUGGCCGGAAGGCUGAACCAGCCAAGCCGCGUGAAGGACGAAGGUGCCAAGCAUUGUAAACUUCUUUUGUCAAGGGACAAAAUCAGGCUCGAGAGCCUGACCGAGGGUACUUGAAGAAAAAGCAUCGGCUAACUCCGUGCCAGCAGCCGCGGUAAUCCGGAGGAUGCGAGCGUUAUCCGGAUUUAUGGGGUUUAAAGGGUGCGUAGGCGGGCUGUUAAGUCAGCGGUAAAAGCCCGGGGCGCAACCCCGGCGAGCCGUUGAAACUGGCUGUAUGGAGAUGUCGAGAGGUAUGCGGAAUGCGCAGUGUAGCGGUGAAAUGCUUAGAGAUUGCGCAGAACUCCGAUUGCGAAGGCAGCAUACCGGCGGCGAUCUGACGCUGAGGCACGAAAGCGUGGGUAUCGAACAGGAUUAGAUACCCUAGUAGUC
Molecule: ribosomal RNA, 459 nt
Filed under: uncultured bacterium
Lineage: Bacteria
Description: partial 16S ribosomal RNA
Rfam family: Bacterial small subunit ribosomal RNA
Source: RNAcentral